Molecule: long non-coding RNA, 352 nt
Filed under: Rattus norvegicus (Norway rat)
Lineage: Eukaryota; Metazoa; Chordata; Mammalia; Rodentia; Muridae
Description: long non-coding RNA NONRATT020479
Source: RNAcentral
CCCUUCUAAAUCCACAAUAGCAUUGGCAUUUUCCCAGCUUCCGUGUGUGGUGCUGGAUCCCAUCCAACUCUGUAAUUGCAUGGAUAUCCAAUAGCAGGCCCCAGGCUAUAAGGGCUCCUGAAUUAUGCAUCAGGAAGAACACACUGAUUUAAUCCGAAGUCGGGGAAAUCUGAAACCACACAAAAUUGGUAGGAUAAUGAGAUCGUGAGUAAGAUAAGAUAAUUUGACAAAGUGUCUUUCUGGGAUUUGUAUUCUUUACAGACAAUUAAUUACAUUCUGAGAAUCUGUACAGACUUUUGAUACUUCUUAAACCUUGAAAUCUUACAGUAAAUAAAGGGAAAUUGCUACAGAA